This 392-nucleotide ribosomal RNA is filed under the name Megaselia subtumida. RNAcentral's name for it is "partial 16S ribosomal RNA". Lineage: Eukaryota; Metazoa; Arthropoda; Insecta; Diptera; Phoridae. The record is from RNAcentral.
UGAAUAAUUUUAAAUGGCCGCAGUAUCCUAACUGUGCAAAGGUAGCAUAAUCAUUAGUCUUUUAAUUGAAGGCUGGAAUGAAUGGUUGGAUGAAAUAUUAACUGUUUCAUAAAAAUUUAUAAUAGAAUUUUAUUUUUUAGUCAAAAAGCUAAAAUAUUAUUAAAAGACGAGAAGACCCUAUAAAUCUUUAUAUUUAGAUAAUUUUAAUUAUUUAGAUAAAUUAAAUUAUAAUUAUUUUAAAUAUUUUAUUGGGGUGAUAUUAAAAUUUAAUAAACUUUUAAUUUAUAAUUAACAUAAAUUAAUGAAUUAUUGAUCCAUUUAUUAUGAUUAAAAAAUUAAGUUACUUUAGGGAUAACAGCGUAAUUUUUUUAGAGAGUUCAUAUUGAUAAAAA